CAUUUUCCCCAAUGUCUUUGCCUCACUCCUCUAU
This 34-nucleotide small RNA is filed under the name Arabidopsis thaliana (thale cress). Its description in RNAcentral is "ATSL030290". Lineage: Eukaryota; Viridiplantae; Streptophyta; Magnoliopsida; Brassicales; Brassicaceae. The record is from RNAcentral.